CGCAAAGGCAUAGUGCAGGUUCAGUAGCAUAGCCUGUGUGGCUUGUGGUUCAUGAAUCAGACUGCCUAAUCCCGGGAACCACAAGGGACAUCUGUAAAUCCAUUGGCCAGUUCCUGAGUCCACAGAUUUACAACUUGAGGUGGCCUGCACCAGACCCACGGGGCAAUAACAGUCUUCCAUUGAAUUCUUUAGCAGUUUCUACAAUUGCAUAAGUUAACAAGAUCAACCUUGCUGGGAAAUGAACAAGCGACCAGGACUGCGUGCAAUUCUACUUGGAGAUCUUCAUAACACCUUAAGGGAAAAAUCCUUUUUGAAAGAAAAACAAGUCUGGGUGGUGCUUGAAAAUUCAGAAGGCAGCUAGAAACUCUGCCAAUUACAACUGGUGAUUGCUGAGUUCUGGAGACAGACUGGGCUUCUGCUUUCUUUUGGUGGAGGUGUCUGCUUGCAGAAAAUUUAUGUUCUGGGAUUUACAACUUCAGGGAGACAAAGGAAACUCCAGCUCAUCUCCCACAUCAUUGAUUGAGAGGACCAUUUUCUGACUGUCUGCACACGUUUCCUAUACUACCCUUUAAUGCAACAAUGGGAUGAAGAGAUGAAGACUUCUAGCAGGCUACCUCAGAAAGGUUGCUGACCAAAGGCUGUAUGGACCAAAAAGUCAUAACACCACCCUGGAUGAAAGGACAUUUACCUAAGGAAUUACCCGCUCUCAAUUCUUCCCAGGUGCAUGUAGUAUAGAUUAAAUAAGGUGGUUGUAUGGCAACAGAGACAUUAUUAGAAACAUUCUUCUUGAAGUUUGACAACAAAGCAGUAGAUGUGUAUCUACUACAGAGUUGUUAGUGAAAAAAGGGAUGGGCAUUUGAAUUAUUUCCAGUUUUUGGCUAUUAUGAAAAAAACUGCUAUGAACAUUCAUACACAAGUGUGUGUGUGGACCCAUGUUUUCACUGAUCAAGGCCUAAAUACCUACGGUAAGUAUACAUUUAACCUUAUAAGAAAAUGCAAAACUAUUUUUCCAAAGUAGUAUCAUUUUACAUUUCUUCUAACAACAUAUGAGAAUGGCAGUUGCUCUACUAAUAUGGUUUGGCUUUGUGUCCCCACC
Molecule: long non-coding RNA, 1096 nt
Filed under: Homo sapiens (human)
Lineage: Eukaryota; Metazoa; Chordata; Mammalia; Primates; Hominidae
Description: HSALNT0079567
Source: RNAcentral